RNAcentral lists this ribosomal RNA (800 nucleotides) under Paramacrobiotus fairbanksi. RNAcentral's name for it is "partial large subunit ribosomal RNA". It matches the Rfam family "Eukaryotic large subunit ribosomal RNA", at positions 32 to 659 of the family's 3401-position model. The record is from RNAcentral. Lineage: Eukaryota; Metazoa; Tardigrada; Eutardigrada; Parachela; Macrobiotidae.
AAUUAAGCAUAUUACUAAGCGGAGGAAAAGAAACCAACGGGGAUUCCCAUAGUAACUGCGAGUGAAAGGGGAACAGCCCAGCGCCGAAUCCUGUUGCUGGUAACGGUGACAGGAACUGUGGCGUGAAGAAGGUGGUUACCGGUGUGGCUUGCUUGCGUAAGUUCUCCUGAGUGAGGCUCCAUCCCAUGGAGGGUGCAAGGCCCGUAUCGUGAGCAGUUGAUGCCGGUGUACAUCUUCGGAGAGUCGCCUUGUUUGUGAGUACAAGGUGAAGUCGGUGGUAAACUCCAUCGAAGGCUAAAUAUGACCACGAGUCCGAUAGCGAACAAGUACCGUGAGGGAAAAUUGAAAAGCACUUUGAAGAGAGAGCGAAACAGUGCGUGAAACCGCUCAGAGGCAAGCAGAUGGGGCCUCGAAGGCAAAGCAGUGAAUUCAGCCGGUGUGGUGCGUGGCUGGUUGGUGUUGGGAUCGCAAGACCCUAGCUGAUUAUGCUCGCGUGCUGGCCGGUGCAUUUUCGCUGUUUGUACGUCACCGCCGUUGAGCGAGCAUCCGUCGGGUAUGCGUGUGAAGCCUUAUUCCUUCGGGCGUAGGUGCUUACUGCUAACUUGUACGCGUUUGCGCCUCAACUGGUCAUGUCAGCGUGUGCCAGCGUUAGCGUUGGGCCGGUAUGCUCUGCGGUGUGUUGUGGGAUGACGAGCUUGCUCGGCUCCUCGAUACGCAGUGGACUCGUUGCCGGUUUUCAACGUAGGCACAUUGUAGAUUCGGUGGCGAGUAGACGGCUGCCCAUCUAACCCGUCUUGAAC